This 564-nucleotide long non-coding RNA is filed under the name Physcomitrium patens. RNAcentral describes it as "long non-coding RNA (PPAT_LNC008405)". Lineage: Eukaryota; Viridiplantae; Streptophyta; Bryopsida; Funariales; Funariaceae. The record is from RNAcentral.
AUAUAAUCAAACAUUAAUAAAAUAAAAUUAAAAUUUCAAAUAAAUUAUACAAGAAACACAAAGAAUUCCUAGAGAUCCUUUAAAGAAAUCAUAAAGAAAUAAUAUAGAAAUUAAAAAAUAUAUUCUAAAAUAGAAAUAUCAAUAAAAUAUUAAAAUAAAAACCUUAUUUAAAUCUUAGUCAAAACUUAAUCAAAUCUUAGUCAAAUCCUAGUCAAAUCCUAAAACAAUUCCAACCAAAUCCUAAAAAAAUCCUAAUAAAAUUCUAAACAAAUUGUAACCAAAUUCUAAAUAAAUCCUCAUCAAAUUUUGAAAAAAUUCUAACCAAAUUCUAAACAAACCUUAACCUAAUUCUAAAUACAUCUAAGUAAUUUCUAUAACAGAUUUAAAUCUCAAUAAUUAAUGAAUGAAUCAUUGAUUUUAAUUUAAAUUUUAUACACCUCUUAAAAAUUAAGUUGAAAAUAAGCACAAAUAUUUUGAAGAAGAUUGAACUCAUCAAAAAGAAGAUCAAUCCAAAAAUUUGCUCAGAUGUUAGAUGGCCUCCUUCUCAAAUUUGAAUGUUAAAUU